GGUGAGUAAUACAUCGGAACGUGUCCUGUAGUGGGGGAUAGCCCGGCGAAAGCCGGAUUAAUACCGCAUACGCUCUACGGAGGAAAGGGGGGGAUCUUAGGACCUCCCGCUACAGGGGCGGCCGAUGGCAGAUUAGCUAGUUGGUGGGGUAAAGGCCUACCAAGGCGACGAUCUGUAGCUGGUCUGAGAGGACGACCAGCCACACUGGGACUGAGACACGGCCCAGACUCCUACGGGAGGCAGCAGUGGGGAAUUUUGGACAAUGGGGGCAACCCUGAUCCAGCAAUGCCGCGUGUGUGAAGAAGGCCUUCGGGUUGUAAAGCACUUUUGUCCGGAAAGAAAACGCCGUGGUUAAUACCCGUGGCGGAUGACGGUACCGGAAGAAUAAGCACCGGCUAACUACGUGCCAGCAGCCGCGGUAAUACGUAGGGUGCAAGCGUUAAUCGGAAUUACUGGGCGUAAAGCGUGCGCAGGCGGUCCGCUAAGACAGAUGUGAAAUC
Molecule: ribosomal RNA, 500 nt
Filed under: Burkholderia sp. Z4_80_5
Lineage: Bacteria; Pseudomonadati; Pseudomonadota; Betaproteobacteria; Burkholderiales; Burkholderiaceae
Description: bacterial SSU rRNA
Rfam family: Bacterial small subunit ribosomal RNA
Source: RNAcentral